RNAcentral lists this ribosomal RNA (622 nucleotides) under Lactococcus lactis. Its description in RNAcentral is "bacterial SSU rRNA". It matches the Rfam family "Bacterial small subunit ribosomal RNA", at positions 73 to 685 of the family's 1533-position model. The record is from RNAcentral. Lineage: Bacteria; Bacillati; Bacillota; Bacilli; Lactobacillales; Streptococcaceae.
ACUUGUACCGACUGGAUGAGCAGCGAACGGGUGAGUAACGCGUGGGGAAUCUGCCUUUGAGCGGGGGACAACAUUUGGAAACGAAUGCUAAUACCGCAUAAAAACUUUAAACACAAGUUUUAAGUUUGAAAGAUGCAAUUGCAUCACUCAAAGAUGAUCCCGCGUUGUAUUAGCUAGUUGGUGAGGUAAAGGCUCACCAAGGCGAUGAUACAUAGCCGACCUGAGAGGGUGAUCGGCCACAUUGGGACUGAGACACGGCCCAAACUCCUACGGGAGGCAGCAGUAGGGAAUCUUCGGCAAUGGACGAAAGUCUGACCGAGCAACGCCGCGUGAGUGAAGAAGGUUUUCGGAUCGUAAAACUCUGUUGGUAGAGAAGAACGUUGGUGAGAGUGGAAAGCUCAUCAAGUGACGGUAACUACCCAGAAAGGGACGGCUAACUACGUGCCAGCAGCCGCGGUAAUACGUAGGUCCCGAGCGUUGUCCGGAUUUAUUGGGCGUAAAGCGAGCGCAGGUGGUUUAUUAAGUCUGGUGUAAAAGGCAGUGGCUCAACCAUUGUAUGCAUUGGAAACUGGUAGACUUGAGUGCAGGAGAGGAGAGUGGAAUUCCAUGUGGUAGCGGUUGG